RNAcentral lists this non-coding RNA (2445 nucleotides) under Pongo abelii (Sumatran orangutan). The record is from RNAcentral. Lineage: Eukaryota; Metazoa; Chordata; Mammalia; Primates; Hominidae.
GUUUCCGGGAUUUCUUUGUAGGUGAGGCGGAAGACUGGAGGGAGCUGAGUACCCGGGAAGAGGGUCCGAUUCCGCCUCGCCGCGCCUCUGGCUGCCGGGCCGUGGGUUUUUCUCUCCUCCUGGGAAUAACGAGGACGACGGCCCCUAACCCCUGAAUUAGCCUUCUAUUUCCAUUAGUGACUUAGAAGCUACCCGGCGCCUCAUCUGGGCUCACCUGAGCUGAGGAUCAGGAAGGGGAGGGGCCACAGUCAUUGCCUCGCGGGCGCGGCGGGACCCCCGCGGAUGGCUUUGUGCGGACUUUCGGCACCGUUAUGCCUGCCCCCCAGCCCGACACCACCUGGGGCCGGCACGCCACGUUACUGUUCGGGGCCGGACCCACCGCCCUGCCUGUUCCGAGGACCCGGACCUCCGAUCCCGGGGAUGGGGGACCCCGAGACCUCAGACCCCACGGAGGUUACCCUGAGACCUCAGACCCCAUGCGGGGACCCCGAGGCUUCAUACCCCCACAGGAGGACCCCAAGACCUCAGACCCCACAGGAUGACCCCGAAAUCUCAGAACCCCGCAGGAGGACCUCGAGACCUCAGAUCCCCAGUAAGGGAGUGAAUGAGACUUCGGAUCCCUGAAGCAGCAAAUCCCUGUGGGGGCAUCCCAGGACUCAGGUCACCGCGGGGUGAACCCAGACCUCACAUUCGGGCAAUCCCCAGGCCGCCGAUCGGCCGGGCAUUACCCACUAUCCCGGCCACCCCCCGGAGCUCAAAGGUUUGGCCCUCCAGCUGCUCCGCCCUGCCGGCUCCCAGGCUCAAACCUCCAGCCCGCGGAUCCCCGCCCCGGAAGCAACCAGGUUCGCGGGAGGUUACCUGAUUAGUCCAAGGCAGGGUCUCACUCUUGCCCAGGCUGGAAUGCAGUGGUGUGAUCACAGCUCACUGCAGACUCAACCUCCCGGGCUCAAAGGAUAAGAUCUACUUUUAAUUAAUUUUUGUAUACGGUAUGGGAUAGGGACCAAAGCUCAUUUUUUUGCAUGUAUUCAUAUCCAAAUGUUCCAGCAUCAUUUGUUAAAAAGUUAUUUUUGUCUCUACUGCAUCAUUUCCUUUGUGCUUACCUCAAAGUCUGUGUCGCAUAUGUAUGUGUUUCGUUUUAGGCUUCCUAUUCUGUUCCAUUGAGCUAUUUGUCUUUUUGCCGCCAGCACCAUGCUGUUUUGAUUAUUGUAGCUAUAUAAAUAAGUGAUGAAAUCAGGUAGUUUGUGUCCUACAACUUUAUUUUUAUUUUUCAAGGUUAUUUUGUGUCUUCUAGAUUCUUCAAAUUUCCUUAUAAAUCUUAGAGUCGACUUGUUUUGCACAAAAAAAGACUGCUGGGAUUUUGAUUGAGAUUGUGUUGACUCUACAGAUCAAUUUGGGGAGAAUUGACAUUUUAACCGUAUUGAAUCUUCUGACCCAUUAACAUUUAGGUCUUUAAAAUUUAUCUGGCCAGACGCGGUGGCUCAAGCCUGUAAUCCCAACACUUUGGGAGGCCGAGGUGGGCCGAUCACGAGGUCAGGAGAUUGAGACCAUCCUGGCUAACACAGUGAAACCCGUCUCUACUAAAAAUACAAAAAAUUAGCUGGGCGUGGUGGCAUGCGCCUGUAGCCCCAGCUACUCGGAAGGCUGAGGCAGGUGAAUGGCGUGAACCCGGGAGGCAGAGCUUGCAGUGAGCGGAGAUCUUGCCACUGCACUCCACCUGGGGCAACAGAGUGAGACUCCAUCUCAAAAAAAAAAAAAAAAUCUCUUAUAACUUUUCUUAGAUUUUAACCUAAGUAUUUGGGGGUUUUUUUGUUGUUGUUUUUGAGACAGGAUCUCACUCUGUCACCCAGGCUGGAGUGCAAUGGUGCGAUCAUGGCUCAACUUGAAGCCUCGACCCUCCUGGGCUCAAGCUAUCCUCCCACCUCAACCUCCUGAGUAGCUGGGGCUACAAGUGCACACGACCAUGCCCAGUUAAUUUUUUAAAUUCUUUGUAGAGGCGGCGUCCCACUAUAUUGCCCAGGCUGGUCUCGAACUCCUGGGCUCAAGCAAUCCUCCCGCCUCAGCUUCCCAAAGUGUAGGGAUUACAGGCAUGAGCCACUGUGCUCAUGCCUGUAAGGUCUUGUGUUUUUUGAUAAUAUUGUAAAUGGUGAUUUUUUUCAUUUUUGUUUCUGAUUGUUGCUAAUAUAUGGAAAUAUAGUUGAUAUCUGCAAUUGAUCUUAUGUCCUGAAAACUUGCUAAAUCUGCUUAAUAAUUUUUUGUACAUUCAAAAUGAUGUUCUACAGGUAGUCAUAUUGUCUCUGUUGGAAGGAAAGCUUUUCCUCGUUCAAUGUGGGUCCUGUGUUUGAGGACCUGCAAAUUAACUGAUAACAAUAGGUUAACAGGAGAAAAGACAAGGUUUAGAGUAACUUACUAAAUAGAAAUAAAGGUUUAUAGAUCCACUCAACAAAA